Molecule: long non-coding RNA, 1735 nt
Organism: Micropterus dolomieu (smallmouth bass)
Lineage: Eukaryota; Metazoa; Chordata; Actinopteri; Centrarchiformes; Centrarchidae
Exons: 3
Source: RefSeq, a predicted model, not a curated record
CCUUUCUUUCGAAUCACGUAGGCCUAAAAUAGUCAGAUAACACAAGGAACAACUGCAGUUAGGAAUUCCACAACAGAUUCCACAAAGCUGAGAGGUUCUUAUUCAAGUUCAUAACAGACUCAGCAUUUUCUUUUCAAAUCUUCGCAUUUCUGGGAAACUGCCUUUAUCCAGCUGCCGGUAAAAAUUCACAAGAGAGAGCUGCUGGUGUCGGCCGCGUAACUCAUCGUCGCACUGCAGCUCAAUUAGCUCCAUCUGCAGUUGAUGAGGGGCAUCAUCCGGGUCCUUGGAGUAAGGAGAGGAGAAUAGUAUGAGGUGCCCCUAGGGACAUUAUCCAGAAUUACCAUGUACUUUUCCUCUCACAUACACAUAUGAAACCAAACUCAUUCACAUACUAUACUGAAAAGCUCACACACAUACAGACUCUUCCGGACUGGACUGGAUGCGUUAAGUUGGCGCUUGUGUUUUGUGUGACGUUUUACACGGACUCUUCGGUUGUAGCUCUCAGUGCGGGGAGUGCAGCUGUAUGAGAGCACAAUUGCUACAGCCUGUACUGGGGGAUCGUCUGUCUGUCUGCUGACCUGGAAGCUGCUUCAUCAUUAAUAUCUGGCCGGAGCUGAGCCAUAUUGUGGGACCAAGACCAUCUUCAGGAUUCCAACCUGUUUAAGUUAUGAUGGUCUAAGAACUUUUAAUUUAGUAUCCAUCUUCAGAAAGUCUUAGAGAAUAAUUGUGAAUAUCACCAAAAUUGUGUGCCUUGGUCCUCCUGUCACUAGAAGUGAGAGUAAAAGUGUCCAAUUUUUCCAUUGACUCCCAUAGUAAAAUUGGAUAGGAAAAAGUCUCUGAAAAUACUCCUACAGUAUCUGUAAUCUAACUUAUAGAUAGGAGGGUGAUGAUUACCUUUUUCCUUGAAUAUAAAAAGACUUGACAACACAGCACUAACAGAAGUCAUGUACGUGUCCCAUACUGUGUCUGAGUAUUCUGAUGGAGUCCACCAUACACCUAAAUUCUCAUUAAGUCACAUUCAAAGGUAUUGAUUGUCUUGUGUAAUCAGAGUGCAGAGCAGCCUUCAUAGAUUCACUCAAAGGUGUUAAGAUAACGUGAGUUCUGCAUUUUAGAUGAAAUUCAGUCCCAGUGAUUGAUUUGUUGUGUUGUUGUCAAUUUUUUUGCAGGACAAUAACAACUGCUGUCACCACUGCCACUGCCCACCACCACCCUCCUCACCUGGCUUCCCCCACCACCUCGACCCUCACCUGUCUAACUUCACCAACAUUACUUCUCCAAUGCUGACAUGCCCACCCAGAACACCUACAGUGAGAAAUUGUUUUGUGAAGAUUCUUUUGUGUACUGCAAUUUGUCUUGACAUGAUAGCUGUCUUGGUUGAAUGUUCAGCCAAUUUUCGGGAGUUUUGAUUAGUUGUUACUUGUUAUUUAUUCUGAUGAUUUUUAUGGAGAAUGUCAUGUUUAGCAUGAGGGCAAGAUGGUUGAUGACCCAUAUGUUUUACUAGUUGGAUGGAAAAACAUCCGUUUCAGUAUUUUCUUAUCUUCAACCUGGCUUGUCUAGUCUCUGGCUAGUUAUAGGGAAAUAUUUUCAGAGAACCCCAUUUUAUACAUUGAUAACAGACUGCCUAUAACGUUGUUAGACUAUCAGUUUCAAAACAGAUCUCUUUAUAUAUGUGUGUUAUUAUGACUGUUUUGUUCUACUUGUGCAAUAAACAAUCUGCUUUUUGUGCAGUUAAGUC